Molecule: non-coding RNA, 72 nt
Organism: Phrynosoma platyrhinos (Desert horned lizard)
Lineage: Eukaryota; Metazoa; Chordata; Lepidosauria; Squamata; Phrynosomatidae
Source: the annotation of a GenBank genome assembly
GCCAGAGUGGUAUAGUGGGUUGAGCAUUGGACUAUGACUCUGGAGACAAGGGUUUGAAUCCCCACCUUGCCA